AGUGAACGCUGGCGGUAGGCCUAACACAUGCAAGUCGAACGGCAGCACAGUAAGAGCUUGCUCUUACGGGUGGCGAGUGGCGGACGGGUGAGGAAUACAUCGGAAUCUACUUUUUCGUGGGGGAUAACGUAGGGAAACUUACGCUAAUACCGCAUACGACCUACGGGUGAAAGCAGGGGAUCUUCGGACCUUGCGCGAUUGAAUGAGCCGAUGUCGGAUUAGCUAGUUGGCGGGGUAAAGGCCCACCAAGGCGACGAUCCGUAGCUGGUCUGAGAGGAUGGUCAGCCACACUGGAACUGAGACACGGUCCAGACUCCUACGGGAGGCAGCAGUGGGGAAUAUUGGACAAUGGGCGCAAGCCUGAUCCAGCCAUACCGCGUGGGUGAAGAAGGCCUUCGGGUUGUAAGGCCCUUUUGUUGGGAAAGAAAAGCAGCAGGUUAAUACCCCGCUGUUCUGACGGUACCCAAAGAAUAAGCACCGGCUAACUUCGUG
Molecule: ribosomal RNA, 492 nt
Filed under: uncultured bacterium
Lineage: Bacteria
Description: partial 16S ribosomal RNA
Rfam family: Bacterial small subunit ribosomal RNA
Source: RNAcentral